ACGGGUGAGUAAUGCUUAUCUAACUUGCCAAUUAGUGGGGGAUAACCCUGGUGCGCCAGGGCUAAUACCGCAUUUUUUGCUUCGGCAAUGAAAGGAAGUCACAAGAUUUUCGCUAAUUGAUAGGGAUAAGUCGUAUUAGUUAGUUGGUGGGGUAAUGGCCUACCAAGACAAUGAUGCGUAGCCAGGCUGAGAGGCUGAUUGGCCACAAGGGAACUGAGACACGGUCCCUACUCCUACGGGAGGCAGCAGUGAGGAAUCUUCGGCAAUGGGGGAAACCCUGACCGAGCAAUACUACGUGAAGGAGGAAGGUCUACGGAUUGUAAACUUCUGUUGGUAGAGAAGAAGAACUGGAUGCAAAUCCGGUUUUGACGGUAUCUACCGAGAAAGCCACGACUAACUACGUGCCAGCAGUCGCGGUAAGACGUAGGUGGCGAACGUUAUCCGGAAUUAUUGGGCGUAAAGGGUGCGUAGAUGGCAGAAUAAGUUAGUGGUGGGAAAUCGGGGCUUAACCCCGCGGAAGCCAUUAAUACUGUUUUGCUAGAGGACGGGGGGGGUUAACGGAACUCCCGGUGGAGCGGUGAAAUGCGUAGAUAUCGGGAAGAACACCAAAGAAGGCGAAGGCAGUUAACUAUUCUGCUCCUGACAUUGAGGCACGAAAGCGUGGGUAGCAAAGCGGAUUAGAUACCCGUGUAGUCCACGCCGUAAACGAUGAGUGCUAGACAUUGGACAUUAGUUCAGUGCCGCUAGGUAACCCGGUAAGCACUCCGCCUGGGUAGUACGCUCGCAAGAGUGAAACUCAAAGGAAUUGACGGGGACUCGCACAAGCAGUGGAGCAUGUGGUUUAAUCCGAUACAACGCGUAGAACCUUACCAAGGUUUGACAUGUUCGGCAAAACUCAAGAAACUGAGCGGAGGUUAUCCGAACACAGGUGCUGCAUGGCCGUCGUCAGUUCGUGCCGUGAGGUGUAUGGUUAAGUCCUAUAACGAACGCAACCCUUAGGUUUAGUUGCCAGCAUUCAGUUGGGGACUCUAAGCCGACUGCCUGAGUAAUCAGGAGGAAGGAAAGGAUGACGUCUGGUCGUC
RNAcentral lists this ribosomal RNA (1082 nucleotides) under uncultured bacterium. RNAcentral's name for it is "bacterial SSU rRNA". It matches the Rfam family "Bacterial small subunit ribosomal RNA", at positions 102 to 1194 of the family's 1533-position model. The record is from RNAcentral.